This 253-nucleotide ribosomal RNA is filed under the name uncultured bacterium. RNAcentral's name for it is "partial 16S ribosomal RNA". It matches the Rfam family "Bacterial small subunit ribosomal RNA", at positions 524 to 776 of the family's 1533-position model. The record is from RNAcentral.
UACGUAGGUGGCAAGCGUUGUCCGGAAUUAUUGGGCGUAAAGCGCGCGCAAGCGGUCCUUUAAGUCUGAUGUGAAAGCCCACGGCUCAACCGUGGAGGGUCAUUGGAAACUGGGGGACUUGAGUACAGAAGAGAAGAGUGGAAUUCCACGUGUAGCGGUGAAAUGCGUAGAGAUGUGGAGGAACACCAGUGGCGAAGGCGACUCUUUGGUCUGUAACUGACGCUGAGGCGCGAAAGCGUGGGGAGCAAACAGG